UACGUGAGCCCCGAGCGUUAUCCGGAAUUACUGGGCGUAAAGCGUGCGCAGGCGGAUUGUUAAGCAAGAUGUGAAAUCCCCGGGCUUAACCUGGGAAUGGCAUUUUGAACUGGCAAUCUAGAGUGUGUCAGAGGGGGGUAGAAUUCCACGUGUAGCAGUGAAAUGCGUAGAGAUGUGGAGGAAUACCGAUGGCGAAGGCAGCCCCCUGGGAUAACACUGACGCUCAUGUACGAAAGCGUGGGGAGCAAACAGG
Molecule: ribosomal RNA, 253 nt
Filed under: uncultured bacterium
Lineage: Bacteria
Description: partial 16S ribosomal RNA
Rfam family: Bacterial small subunit ribosomal RNA
Source: RNAcentral